GCCUUAGUAGCUUAAUUGGUAAAGCAUUCGCUUGAAGAGCGUUGGUUGCGAGUUCGAAUCUCGACUUUGGCA
RNAcentral lists this transfer RNA (72 nucleotides) under Fermentozyma sake. Its description in RNAcentral is "[Candida] sake tRNA-Phe". It matches the Rfam family "tRNA". Rfam says of the family: Transfer RNA (tRNA) molecules are approximately 80 nucleotides in length. Lineage: Eukaryota; Fungi; Ascomycota; Pichiomycetes; Serinales; Debaryomycetaceae. The record is from RNAcentral.